AGGUCAAGCUACAAAGGGCGCAUGGUGAAUGCCUUGGCAUCAGGAGCCGAUGAAGGACGUGAUAAGCUGCGAUAAGCUUCGGGUAGGCGCACAUAGCCUGAGAUCCGAAGAUUUCCGAAUGAGGAAACUCACAUGGGAAACCCCAUGUAUCAUUAAGUGAAUACAUAGCUUAAUGAAGGUAACCCAGGGAACUGAAACAUCUAAGUACCUGGAGGAAGAGAAAGAAAAAUCGAUUUUCUUAGUAGCGGCGAGCGAAAGGGAAAGAGCCCAAACCGGAAACUUGUUUCCGGGGUUGUGGACAUAACAUAAAAGUGGAGGCUAUUGUAACUGAAGAGAACUGGAAAGUUCCACCGUAGAAGGUAAUAGUCCUGUAAGUGAAACGAGAAGACCACGAGUUAUGAUCCAGAGUACCACGAGACACGUGAAACCUUGUGGGAAGCAGGGAGGACCACCUCCCAAGGCUAAAUACUACCUGAUGACCGAUAGUGAAGCAGUACCGUGAGGGAAAGGUGAAAAGAACCCCGGGAGGGGAGUGAAAUAGAACCUGAAACCGUGUGCCUACAAC
RNAcentral lists this ribosomal RNA (565 nucleotides) under Clostridium perfringens. RNAcentral describes it as "bacterial LSU rRNA". It matches the Rfam family "Bacterial large subunit ribosomal RNA", at positions 1 to 570 of the family's 2925-position model. Lineage: Bacteria; Bacillati; Bacillota; Clostridia; Eubacteriales; Clostridiaceae. The record is from RNAcentral.